AACCAAAUAUUUUGUUCGUGUUCUUGCAAGUACUAAAGUUGGUCGAGGAAACUACAGUAAAAGUCAGGGAAUAUUUACAAAUGGAGAACGAACAGGGAUGGCCACAAAUAAAACAGUAACUACAUUAACAUUCCCAUUACAAAGCCCUUCGGAAAAUUUUGCGUAUUUUUACGUUGUGGCUUUAAGAAUAGAAGACAAUGACAAACUUUCAUCACCCAGCAGUUACGAUAACAAUGAUCUAGUGACAUAUAAAGAAGCUAAAACGUCAGCUGAACCAAAACCUUAUAUUGCUG
This is a long non-coding RNA of Dendronephthya gigantea, 293 nucleotides long. RefSeq lists it as uncharacterized. The transcript has 3 exons. Lineage: Eukaryota; Metazoa; Cnidaria; Anthozoa; Malacalcyonacea; Nephtheidae. The record is from RefSeq and is a predicted model, not a curated record.